This 274-nucleotide unclassified non-coding RNA is filed under the name plant metagenome. RNAcentral describes it as "partial contains small subunit ribosomal RNA, internal transcribed spacer 1, and 5.8S ribosomal RNA". The record is from RNAcentral.
UUUCCGUAGGUGAACCUGCGGAAGGAUCAUUAUCGUACAAAAUGUGAGGGGCAUGCGAGGGCUGUCGCUGACCCAAAAGUCGUGCACGCCCGAGUGUGUCCUCUUGCAUAAUAAUCCAUCUCACCCUAUGUGCACCACCGCGUGGGUCCCCCUUUGGCUUGUUCGGAGGGGGGCUUACGUUUUCACACAAACUUUGUAUGCAGUGUAGAAUGUAUUUUUUGUUUUUGCGAUCACGCAAUCAAUACAACUUUCAACAACGGAUCUCUUGGCUCUC